AGACUUAGAAGAAUUAUUCUUAAUAUCAUAAAUAAUAAGAUCAUAUGACAUAAUCAAUUGAAUUUACUUUAAAAAGAUUGAAUCAAUAGUCAAUAUUGAUUUUAUUGUCCAAAGAUGAAAUUGUUCUAACUUCAAGAGGAUCAUUCUUUAUUGAUCAAAAUUUAAAUCACCUUCUUUCGGAAUAAGAUAAGAAUGUUUAAAAAAGGCUUUUGACAAACCUCAUUAUUUUCUUACUUAAUAUGUGCUCUUGAAAACAAAUCUUGAAAAAUACAUGCUCCAAUAGGCUUAGCAAAAAUUUAAAACAUGUAUUGACAUAAAAUACUUGAUAUUCUUAUGAUCCAUAUAUAUGAUAAUUAGUUUAGAAGUGCCUUCUAGAUAAUGAUGUCAUUCUUGAAAUGAAUCUAAAAUUACAUAAAGUUCAUUAUUGUGGAUCUUAUAGUUAAUUUUUAUUAGUAA
RNAcentral lists this long non-coding RNA (456 nucleotides) under Physcomitrium patens. RNAcentral's name for it is "long non-coding RNA (PPAT_LNC001087)". Lineage: Eukaryota; Viridiplantae; Streptophyta; Bryopsida; Funariales; Funariaceae. The record is from RNAcentral.